RNAcentral lists this ribosomal RNA (253 nucleotides) under uncultured bacterium. RNAcentral's name for it is "partial 16S ribosomal RNA". It matches the Rfam family "Bacterial small subunit ribosomal RNA", at positions 524 to 776 of the family's 1533-position model. The record is from RNAcentral.
UACGAAGGGUGCAAGCGUUGUUCGGAAUCACUGGGCGUAAAGCGCGCGUAGGCGGCGAUACAAGUCAGAGGUGAAAUGCCAAGGCUCAACCUUGGAACUGCCUUUGAAACUGUAUUGCUAGAGUACUGGAGGGGUUGGCGGAAUUCCUAAUGUAGAGGUGAAAUUCGUAGAUAUUAGGAGGAACACCGGUGGCGAAGGCGGCCAACUGGACAGUAACUGACGCUGAGGCGCGAAAGCGUGGGGAUCAAACAGG